Molecule: ribosomal RNA, 475 nt
Filed under: uncultured bacterium
Lineage: Bacteria
Description: bacterial SSU rRNA
Rfam family: Bacterial small subunit ribosomal RNA
Source: RNAcentral
ACUCCUACGGGAGGCAGCAGUGGGGAAUUUUGGACAAUGGGCGAAAGCCUGAUCCAGCAAUGCCGCGUGAGUGAAGAAGGCCUUCGGGUUGUAAAGCUCUUUUGUCAGGGAAGAAACGGUGAGGGCUAAUAUCCCUUGCUAAUGACGGUACCUGAAGAAUAAGCACCGGCUAACUACGUGCCAGCAGCCGCGGUAAUACGUAGGGUGCAAGCGUUAAUCGGAAUUACUGGGCGUAAAGCGUGCGCAGGCGGUUUUUGUAAGUCUGAUGUGAAAUCCCCGGGCUCAACCUGGGGAAUUGCAUUGGAGACUGCAAGGCUAGAAUCUGGCAGAGGGGGGUAGAAUUCCACGUGUAGCAGUGAAAUGCGUAGAUAUGUGGAGGAACACCGAUGGCGAAGGCAGCCCCCUGGGUCAAGAUUGACGCUCAUGCACGAAAGCGUGAGGAGCAAACAGGAUUAGAUACCCUGGUAGGCUCUGC